AUGCCUUACACAUGCAAGUCGAACGGCAGCACGGGGGUAACCUGGUGGCGAGUGGCGAACGGGUGAGUAAUACAUCGGAACGUGUCCUGGAGUGGGGGAUAGCUCGGCGAAAGCCGGAUUAAUACCGCAUAUUCUCUGAGGAGGAAAGCGGGGGACCGAAAGGCCUCGCGCUUCAGGGGCGGCCGAUGGCGGAUUAGCUAGUUGGUGGGGUAAAGGCCUACCAAGGCGACGAUCCGUAGCUGGUCUGAGAGGACGACCAGCCACACUGGGACUGAGACACGGCCCAGA
RNAcentral lists this ribosomal RNA (288 nucleotides) under uncultured bacterium. RNAcentral's name for it is "partial 16S ribosomal RNA". It matches the Rfam family "Bacterial small subunit ribosomal RNA", at positions 45 to 335 of the family's 1533-position model. The record is from RNAcentral.